RNAcentral lists this ribosomal RNA (387 nucleotides) under Ulotrichales sp. RNAcentral describes it as "partial small subunit ribosomal RNA". It matches the Rfam family "Eukaryotic small subunit ribosomal RNA", at positions 582 to 975 of the family's 1831-position model. The record is from RNAcentral. Lineage: Eukaryota; Viridiplantae; Chlorophyta; Ulvophyceae; Ulotrichales.
AUUCCAGCUCCAAUAGCGUAUAUUUAAGUUGUUGCAGUUAAAAAGCUCGUAGUUGGAUUUCGGGUGGGUACCGCCGGUCUCCCUUUGGGUAUGUACUGGCGUGGCCCGCCUUGCUGUCGGGGACGAUCUCCUGGGCUUAAUUGUCCGGGAAUCGGAGUCGACGAUGUUACUUUGAGUAAAUUAGAGUGUUCAAAGCAAGCCUACGCUCUGAAUAUAAUAGCAUGGGAUAACACGACAGGACUCUGGCCUAUCAUGUUGGUCUGUAGGACCGGAGUAGUGAUUAAGAGGGACAGUCGGGGGCAUUCGUAUUCCAUUGUCAGAGGUGAAAUUCUUGGAUUUAUGGAAGACGAACAUCUGCGAAAGCAUUUGUCAAGGAUGUUUUCAUUA